This 406-nucleotide ribosomal RNA is filed under the name bacterium enrichment culture clone ALO1_GLFRUDD03GRZWZ. RNAcentral's name for it is "bacterial SSU rRNA". It matches the Rfam family "Bacterial small subunit ribosomal RNA", at positions 9 to 417 of the family's 1533-position model. The record is from RNAcentral.
GAGUUUGAUCCUGGCUCAGAUUGAACGCUGGCGGCAGGCCUAACACAUGCAAGUCGAGCGGAUGACGGGAGCUUGCUCCUUGAUUCAGCGGCGGACGGGUGAGUAAUGCCUAGGAAUCUGCCUGGUAGUGGGGGACAACGUUUCGAAAGGAACGCUAAUACCGCAUACGUCCUACGGGAGAAAGCAGGGGACCUUCGGGCCUUGCGCUAUCAGAUGAGCCUAGGUCGGAUUAGCUAGUUGGUGGGGUAAUGGCUCACCAAGGCGACGAUCCGUAACUGGUCUGAGAGGAUGAUCAGUCACACUGGAACUGAGACACGGUCCAGACUCCUACGGGAGGCAGCAGUGGGGAAUAUUGGACAAUGGGGGCAACCCUGAUCCAGCCAUGCCGCGUGAGUGAAGAAGGCCU